RNAcentral lists this ribosomal RNA (181 nucleotides) under uncultured bacterium. RNAcentral's name for it is "partial 16S ribosomal RNA". It matches the Rfam family "Bacterial small subunit ribosomal RNA", at positions 1319 to 1500 of the family's 1533-position model. The record is from RNAcentral.
CGUGAAGUUGGAAUCGCUAGUAAUCGCGGAUCAGCAUGCCGCGGUGAAUACGUUCCCGGGCCUUGUACACACCGCCCGUCACACCAUGAGAGCCGGUAACACCCGAAGUCAGUAGUCUAACCGCAAGGGGACGCUGCCGAAGGUGGGGCUGGUGAUUGGGGUGAAGUCGUAACAAGGUAUC